CGUAAAGGGUGUGUAGGGGGCGUUGUUAGUCCUGCCUUAAAGCUUCCCGCUUAACGGGAAAAAUGGGUGGGAAACGGCAAUGCUAUGAGGAUGCGAGAGGUUAAUGGAACUCUGGGUGUAGGGGUGAAAUCCGUUGAUAUCCAGAGGAACACCGAAAGCGAAGGCAAUUAACUGGCGCAUUCCUGACCCUGAGACACGAAAGCGUGGGUAGCGAAAGGGAUUAGAUACCCCUGUAGUCCACGCCGUAAACGAUGUUCUCUAGCUUCCCGAAGUAUCGACCCUUUGGGUGGCGAAGCUAACGCGUUAAGAGAACCGCCUGGGAAGUACGGCCGCAAGGCUAAAACUCAAAGGAAUAGACGGGGACUUGCACAAGCGGUGGAUCAUGCGGUUUAAUUCGUCAGCAAGCGAAGAACCUUACCAGGGCUUGACAUGCUAGUGAAAUCUUGCCGAAAGGUGAGACUUCUCACAAGGACACUGGCACAGGUGUUGCAUGGCUGUCGUCAGUUCGUGAUUUGAAUUGUUCCCUUAAGUGGGGUGACGAACGCAACCCUCGUCGUCUGUUAUGCGUGUCAGACGAGACCGCCCCUUACUUUGUCCAGCAGUAAUAUAAUUGGUGGCCAAUGUGAGGGGAGGAAGGUGAGGAUGACGCCAAGUCAGCAUGA
This 662-nucleotide ribosomal RNA is filed under the name uncultured bacterium. RNAcentral describes it as "bacterial SSU rRNA". It matches the Rfam family "Bacterial small subunit ribosomal RNA", at positions 559 to 1198 of the family's 1533-position model. The record is from RNAcentral.